AGCCAUUUAUGGCUGGGUAGGGGAGCGUCCUGCAUCCGGUGAAGCAGCAGAGUGAUCUAGCUGUGGAGGGUGUGGGAGUGAGAAUGCAGGCAUGAGUAGCGAAUAGGCAAGUGAGAACCUUGCCCGCCGAAAGACCAAGGGUUCCUGGGCCAGGCCAGUCCUCCCAGGGUGAGUCGGGACCUAAGGCGAGGCCGACAGGCGUAGUCGAUGGACAACGGGUUGAUAUUCCCGUACCCGUGUAUGUGCGUCCCUGAUGAAUCCAUUGUGCUAACCAUCCAAAACCACCGUGACCAAUCCCUUCGGGGUGCGGCGUUGGUGGGGCUGCGUGGGACCCCGGUGGGUAGUAGUCAAGCGAUGGGGUGACGCAGGAAGGUAGCCGUACCAGUCAGUGGUUGUACUGGGGUAAGCCGGUAGGGCGAAACGUAGGCAAAUCCGCGUUUCAUACAGCCUGAGAGGUGAUGCAUAGCCGUUUGAGGCGAAUUCGGUGAUCCUAUGCUGCCAAGAAAAGCCUCUAGCGAGGACAUACACGGCCCGUACCCCAAACCAACACAGGUGGUCAGGUAGAGAAUACUAAGGCGUACGAGUGAACUAUGGUUAAGGAACUCGGCAAAAUGCCCCCGUAACUUCGGGAGAAGGGGGACCCCCAUAUCGUCAAGGCUCUUGCGGCCGGCAGCGGGAGGGGGUGGCACAAACCAGUGAGAAGCGACUGUUUACUAAAAACACAGGUCCGUGCGAAGUCGCAAGACGAUGUAUACGGACUGACGCCUGCCCGGUGCUGGAAGGUUAAGAGGACCUGUUAACCCUUCGGGGUGAAGCAGAGAAUUUAAGCCCCAGUAAACGGCGGUGGUAACUAUAACCAUCCUAAGGUAGCGAAAUUCCUUGUCGGGUAAGUUCCGACCUGCACGAAUGGCGUAACGACUUCUCAACUGUCUCAACCAUAGACUCGGCGAAAUUGCACUACGAGUAAAGAUGCUCGUUACGCGCGGCAGGACGAAAAGACCCCGGGACCUUCACUACAACUUGGUAUUGGUGCUCGAUACGGUUUGUGUAGGAUAGGUGGGAGACUGUGAAGCUCACACGCCAGUGUGGGUGGAGUCGUUGUUGAAAUACCACUCUGAUCGUAUUGGGCCUCUAACCUCGGACCGUAUAUCCGGUUCAGGGACAGUGCCUGGUGGGUAGUUUAACUGGGGCGGUUGCCUCCCAAAAUGUAACGGAGGCGCCCAAAGGUUCCCUCAACCUGGACGGCAAUCAGGUGUUGAGUGUAAGUGCACAAGGGAGCUUGACUGCGAGACGUACAUGUCGAGCAGGGACGAAAGUCGGGACUAGUGAUCCGGCACCUCUGAGUGGAAGGGGUGUCGCUCAACGGAUAAAAGGUACCCCGGGGAUAACAGGCUGAUCUUCCCCAAGAGUCCAUAUCGACGGGAUGGUUUGGCACCUCGAUGUCGGCUCGUCGCAUCCUGGGGCUGGAGCAGGUCCCAAGGGUUGGGCUGUUCGCCCAUUAAAGCGGCACGCGAGCUGGGUUUAGAACGUCGUGAGACAGUUCGGUCUCUAUCCGCCGCGCGCGUCAGAAGCUUGAGGAAAUCUGUCCCUAGUACGAGAGGACCGGGACGGACGAACCUCUGGUAUACCAGUUGUUCCACCAGGAGCACCGCUGGAUAGCCACGUUCGGACAGGAUAACCGCUGAAAGCAUCUAAGCGGGAAACCCCCUCCAAGACCAGGCUUCUCACCCUUUUAGAGGGAUAAGGCCCCCCGCAGACCACGGGAUUGAUAGACCAGACCUGGAAGCCCAGCAAUGGGUGCAGGGAACUGGCACUAACCGGCCGAAAACUUACAACA
The sequence is a ribosomal RNA, 1837 nucleotides long. It matches the Rfam family "Bacterial large subunit ribosomal RNA", at positions 1207 to 2925 of the family's 2925-position model.